UGCUGGCUGGAGUUGUUAUGA
This 21-nucleotide unclassified non-coding RNA is filed under the name Chlamydomonas reinhardtii. RNAcentral's name for it is "small RNA Cre_3193". Lineage: Eukaryota; Viridiplantae; Chlorophyta; Chlorophyceae; Chlamydomonadales; Chlamydomonadaceae. The record is from RNAcentral.